RNAcentral lists this ribosomal RNA (271 nucleotides) under uncultured bacterium. RNAcentral's name for it is "partial 16S ribosomal RNA". It matches the Rfam family "Bacterial small subunit ribosomal RNA", at positions 524 to 794 of the family's 1533-position model. The record is from RNAcentral.
UACGUAGGGUGCGAGCGUUAAUCGGAAUUACUGGGCGUAAAGGGAGCGUAGGCGGACAUUUAAGUCAGAGGUGAAAUCCCGGGGCUCAACCUCGGAACUGCCUUUGAUACUGGAUGUCUUGAGUGUGAGAGAGGUAUGUGGAACUCCGAGUGUAGAGGUGAAAUUCGUAGAUAUUCGGAAGAACACCAGUGGCGAAGGCGACAUACUGGCUCAUUACUGACGCUGAGGCUCGAAAGCGUGGGGAGCAAACAGGAUUAGAUACCCUUGUAGU